Molecule: ribosomal RNA, 443 nt
Filed under: uncultured bacterium
Lineage: Bacteria
Description: partial 16S ribosomal RNA
Rfam family: Bacterial small subunit ribosomal RNA
Source: RNAcentral
CCUACGGGUGGCAGCAGUGGGGAAUAUUGGGCAAUGGGCGCAAGCCUGACCCAGCAACGCCGCGUGAAGGAAGAAGGCUUUCGGGUUGUAACCUUCUUUUGUCAGGGACGAAGCAAGUGACGGUACCUGACGAAUAAGCCACGGCUAACUACGUUCCAGCAGCCGCGGUAAUACGUAGGUGGCAAGCGUUAUUCGGAUUUACUGGGUGUAAAGGGCGUGUUGGCGGGACUGCAAGUCAGAUGUGAAAACCACGGGCUCAACCUGUGGCCUGCAUUUGAAACUGUAGUCCUUGAGUACUGGAGAGGCAUACGGAAUGCCUGGUGGAGCGGUGAAAUGCGUAGAUAUUAGGAGGAACACCAGGGGCGAAGGCGGUCUGCUGGACAGCAACUGACGCUGAGGCGCGAAAGCGUGGGGAGCAAACAGGAUUAGAUACCCGAGUAGUC